RNAcentral lists this ribosomal RNA (440 nucleotides) under uncultured bacterium. RNAcentral's name for it is "partial 16S ribosomal RNA". It matches the Rfam family "Bacterial small subunit ribosomal RNA", at positions 338 to 795 of the family's 1533-position model. The record is from RNAcentral.
CCUACGGGUGGCAGCAGUAGGGAAUAUUGCUCAAUGGGGGAAACCCUGAAGCAGCAACGCCGCGUGGAGGAUGAAGGUUUUCGGAUGGUAAACUCCUUUUGUUAGAGAAGAUAAUGACGGUAUCUAACUAAUCAUCACCGGCUAACUCCGUUCCAGCAGCCGCGGUAAUACGGAGGGUGCAAGCGUUCGUCGGAAUCACUGGGCGUAACGAGCGCGGAGGCGGGAUCGCAAGUAAGAUGUGAAAGCCUAUGGCUUAACCAUAGAACUGCAUUUGAAACUGGUAUUCUAGAGUAUGGAAGAGGGAGGUGGAAUUCUUGGUGUAGGGGUAAAAUCCGUAGAGAUCAAGAGGAAUACGCAUUGCGAAGGCGACCUGCUAGAACAUAACUGACGCUGAUGCGCGAAAGCGUGGGGAGCAAACAGGAUUAGAUACCCGGGUAGUC